Molecule: ribosomal RNA, 2437 nt
Filed under: Candidatus Magnetominusculus dajiuhuensis
Lineage: Bacteria; Pseudomonadati; Nitrospirota; Nitrospiria; Nitrospirales; Nitrospiraceae
Description: partial 23S ribosomal RNA
Rfam family: Bacterial large subunit ribosomal RNA
Source: RNAcentral
GGUCAAGAUACUAAGGGCAUUCGGUGGAUGCCUUGGCAUCAGACGGCGAUGAAGGACGUGGUAGGCUGCGAUAAGCCACGGUGAGCUGCGAGCAAGCUAUGAACCGUGGAUUUCCGAAUGGGGCAACCCGUCUAGGUAAAGCCUAGACAUUUUAUACUGAAUACAUAGGUAUAUAAAGCUAACCCGGGGAAGUGAAACAUCUCAGUACCCGGAGGAAAAGAAAUCAAUUGAGAUUCCCUCAGUAGCGGCGAGCGAACGGGGAACAGCCUAAACCCGGGAAGACAUUAAGUUUAUGAGUUACGGAUAUUUUAAUAAAUAUCAUAGAUUCAUAGAUUUAAUGUCUUCUCGGGGGUUGCAGGACCGCAUAAGUACUAUCAGCAUUAUAUAAUUGAACCGUAUGGAAAGGCGGGCCAGAGAGGGUGAUAGCCCUGUAAGUGAAAUAUAAUGUUGAAGGAAGCGGUAUCCUAAGUACUACGGGACACGUGAAAUCCCGUGGGAAUCUGGGUAGACCACUAUCCAAGGCUAAAUACGUGCUGAUGACCGAUAGCGUAUAGUACCGUGAGGGAAAGGCGAAAAGAACCCCUGUAAGGGGAGUGAAAUAGAACCUGAAACCGAAUGCCUACAAGCAAUCAGAGCAUGACUUGUCAUGUGAUGGUGUGCCUUUUGAUUAAUGAGCCGGCGAGUUACUAGUUGCAGCAAGGUUAAUCACGUUGACGUGAGGAGCCGCAGGGAAACCAAGUCUUAACAGGGCGAUUAGUUGCAAAUAGUAGACCCGAAGCCAGGUGAUCUAUCCAUGGUCAGGGUGAAGCGAGGGUAAGACUUCGUGAAGGCCCGCACUGAUAUAUGUUGCAAAAUGUUCGGAUGAACUGUGGAUAGGGGUGAAAGGCCAAUCAAACCUGGUGAUAGCUGGUUCUCCCCGAAAUGUAUUUAGGUACAGCCUCAGAUUAUAGUCUAGAGGGGGUAGGGCACUGAAUGGGCUAGGGUUGCGCAAGCGAUACCAAUCCCAAUCAAACCACGAAUACCUUAUAGAUGUUAUCUGGGAGUGAGGCUAUGGGUGCUAAGAUUCAUGGCCGAGAGGGAAACAACCCAGACCGUCAGCUAAGGUCCCUAAAUUAUGCUAAGUGGGAAAGGAUGUGAUGCUGCAGAGACAACCAGGAUGUUGGCUUAGAAGCAGCCAUCAUUUAAAGAAAGCGUAAUAGCUCACUGGUCAAGCGACACUGCGCCGAAAAUUUAACGGGGCUCAAGCACUGCACCGAAGCUACGGAACGCAGCAAUGCGUUGGUAGGGGAGCAUUCUGUAAGCCUGUGAAGGUAAGUCGUGAGGCUUGCUGGAGGUAUCAGAAGAGAGUAUGUCGGCAUAAGUAGCGCAAAGACUGAUGGGAAGUCAGUCCGCCGUAAACCUAAGGUUUCCUGGGGAAGGUAAAUCCGCCCAGGGUUAGUCGGUCCUAAGAUGAGGCCGCCAGGCGUAAUCGAUGGACAACAGGUUAAUAUUCCUGCACCAACUUGUAGUCGUUGAUCCUAGGGGUAACGCAGGAGGAUAGUCAGAGCAUGGUGAUGGUUCAUGUCCAAGCGUUUAGGCUUGUGGGUAGGCAAAUCCGCCCACUUUAAGGCUGAGUCGUGAUGGGGAGCCCUUUAGGGCGAACUCUGGUGAUUCCACGCUGACGAGAAAAACCUCGAGUGGAGACUGCAGGUUGACCGUACCGCAAACCGACACAGGUAGGUGGGUAGAAGAUACCAAGGCGUUCGAGAGAAACCUCGCUAAGGAACUCGGCAAAAUAACCCCGUAACUUCGGGAGAAGGGGUCCCUGAGAAAUCAGGGCGCAGUGAAAUGGCCCAGGCGACUGUUUACCAAAAACACAGGUGUCUGCAAACUCGCAAGAGGAAGUAUAGACACUGACGCCUGCCCGGUGCCGGAAGGUUAAUGGGAGAUGUUAUCGCAAGAGAAGCAUUGAACUGAAGCCCCGGUAAACGGCGGCCGUAACUAUAACGGUCCUAAGGUAGCGAAAUUCCUUGUCGGGUAAGUUCCGACCUGCACGAAUGGCGUAACGACUUCCGCACUGUCUCAAUCAGAGGCUCAGUGAAAUUGUAUUGGCGGUGAAGAUGCCGUCUACCCGCAACAAGACGGAAAGACCCCGUGCACCUUUACUACAACUUGACAUUGGAUUUUGGGCUAGCAUGUGUAGGAUAGGUGGGAGGCUUUGAAGCGGGAACGCUAGUUCUCGUGGAGCCAUCCUUGAAAUACCACCCUUGGUAGUCUAGAGUUCUAACCUAGACCCGUUAUCCGGGUCGGGGACAUUGUCUGGUGGGUAGUUUGACUGGGGCGGGUUGAUAUGGAGGGAGCCGGCAUUUCCACAACUUAGCCCGCAAGUUAGACGAUAAAAACCGGUGAAUAUCGCGCAAACGCCCGCACCAUAACGGCACGGGCGUUGUUUAUUCAU